RNAcentral lists this ribosomal RNA (117 nucleotides) under Sinocyclocheilus grahami. The record is from RNAcentral. Lineage: Eukaryota; Metazoa; Chordata; Actinopteri; Cypriniformes; Cyprinidae.
GCCAGCAGCCAUAUCACCCUACAGCCCAAGACUGGUUGCCCACUGAAGCUAAGCAGGGUUGAGCGUGGUCAGUAGCUGGAUGGGAGACCUCCUGGGAAAACUAGGUUGCUGUUGGAA